Molecule: unclassified non-coding RNA, 334 nt
Filed under: soil metagenome
Description: partial contains 5.8S ribosomal RNA, internal transcribed spacer 2, and large subunit ribosomal RNA
Rfam family: 5.8S ribosomal RNA (bases 1-120)
Source: RNAcentral
GAUGAAGAACGCAGCGAAAUGCGAUAAGUAAUGUGAAUUGCAGAAUUCAGUGAAUCAUCGAAUCUUUGAACGCACAUUGCGCCCGCCAGUAUUCUGGCGGGCAUGCCUGUUCGAGCGUCAUUUCAACCAUCAAGCCCUGCUUGCGUUGGGGUCCUGCGGCUGCCCGCAGGCCCUGAAAACCAGUGGCGGGCUCGCUAGUCACACCGAGCGCAGUAAUACAUCUCGCUUUGGGCGUGCGGCGGGUUCUUGCCGUUAAACACCCCCUUUUUACCAAGGUUGACCUCGGAUCAGGUAGGAAUACCCGCUGAACUUAAGCAUAUCAAUAAGCGGUGGA